This is a long non-coding RNA of Nematostella vectensis (starlet sea anemone), 683 nucleotides long. RefSeq lists it as uncharacterized. NCBI's taxonomy places the organism in Eukaryota, Metazoa, Cnidaria, Anthozoa, Actiniaria, Edwardsiidae. The record is from RefSeq and is a predicted model, not a curated record. The transcript has 2 exons.
UAAAUAAUGUUUCGUGCGAUGUUGAUGAACGUACAAUACACGCUAUCGAUGUAACUUUUGGCACAAAUGAAUGUCCCUUUCCCGUUAAUGAACAGCAAAAGGUGUAUUAAAGACUUCGUGACCUAAUCAAUAUUCACAAAGGAAGUUAACAGCACAUGCUUGAUUAACAAUGCGCUGAGUUUAGUGGGCUCCCUCUGUGCACCGGAGACUUGAACUUGAAUCUAUUAAUUGAUUCGGGGCAAACGUUGCUCCUUCCAUGUACCCAUUUACAAAGCAAAAGGUUCGACUGAAUUGGGUUUAAGUUUGGUCCGACGUAUGCUGCAAGCCUUAGACAGAGAAUGGACAAGUCAGCUCCAACGUGUCCUCAAGAUCCGACGCGCGCACGAAUAUCCAAUCAGAAAGCAGCAAAUAGAAGCCAGUGAAGUGCAACCCAAAUGUCCCACAAAAGUCCCACAAAUUGUACAACGUGUCGGAUGAGGAGUGUGAAUCCUGAACUCGGGUUUAUCUAUAAUAUAGACGUCUAUAGGAGUUUUCCUGUGACUUGGGAAAUAAAAGACGGUCACCUAACAUCAUAGAAAUUGAUUUGUUGUCCAAGCUUGGUGAAAAUCUUGUAGAGAAGCAUAGAAAUAGAUAACUACAAGUUUGGUUGUUAAUGAAAACGACACAAAUCCAGCACGAAAUAA